UACGUAGGGUGCAAGCGUUGUCCGGAAUUAUUGGGCGUAAAGAGCUCGUAGGCGGUUUGUCGCGUCUGCUGUGAAAACCCGAGGCUCAACCUCGGGCCUGCAGUGGGUACGGGCAGACUAGAGUGCGGUAGGGGAGAUUGGAAUUCCUGGUGUAGCGGUGGAAUGCGCAGAUAUCGGGAGGAACACCAGUAGCGAAGGCGGCACUCUGGGCCGUGACUGACGCUGAGGAGCGAAAGCGUGGGUAGCAAACAGG
RNAcentral lists this ribosomal RNA (253 nucleotides) under uncultured bacterium. RNAcentral's name for it is "partial 16S ribosomal RNA". It matches the Rfam family "Bacterial small subunit ribosomal RNA", at positions 524 to 776 of the family's 1533-position model. The record is from RNAcentral.